Acanthosepion pharaonis is the source of this 110-nucleotide non-coding RNA. The record is from the annotation of a GenBank genome assembly. Lineage: Eukaryota; Metazoa; Mollusca; Cephalopoda; Sepiida; Sepiidae.
CGGCAACAUCACGCUGAAACACCGAUUCCCGUACGAUCAUCGAAGUUAAGCAACGUUGAGCCUUGUCAGUACAUCGAUGGGUGACCGAUUAGGAAUAACGGGUGCUGUAA